UGGGGAAUAUUGGACAAUGGGCGCAAGCCUGAUCCAGCAACGCCGCGUGAAUGAUGAAGGCCUUCGGGUCGUAAAGUUCUUUUGGCAGGGAAGAAAAUGACGGUACCUGCAGAAUAAGCUCCGGCUAACUUCGUGCCAGCAGCCGCGGUAAUACGAAGGGGGCUAGCGUUGUUCGGAAUUACUGGGCGUAAAGCGUGCGUAGGUUGUUAUUCAAGUUAGUGGUGAAAGCCCAGAGCUUAACUCUGGAACUGCCAUUAAAACUGAAUAGCUAGAGAGUGUUAGAGGUAAGUGGAAUUCCUAGUGUAGGAGUGAAAUCCGUAGAUAUUAGGAGGAACAUCAAUGGCGAAGGCAGCUUACUGGGUCACAUCUGACACUGAGGCACGAAAGCGUGGGUAGCAAACA
RNAcentral lists this ribosomal RNA (402 nucleotides) under uncultured Pseudomonadota bacterium. Its description in RNAcentral is "uncultured proteobacterium partial 16S ribosomal RNA". It matches the Rfam family "Bacterial small subunit ribosomal RNA", at positions 355 to 774 of the family's 1533-position model. The record is from RNAcentral. Lineage: Bacteria; Pseudomonadati; Pseudomonadota.